Molecule: long non-coding RNA, 215 nt
Organism: Bactrocera neohumeralis
Lineage: Eukaryota; Metazoa; Arthropoda; Insecta; Diptera; Tephritidae
Exons: 3
Source: RefSeq, a predicted model, not a curated record
UUCGCGUUGGCGGCCUUCGGCCGCGCUUCAAAAAAAUAACCCUGGCCGAUCCAACACCGGGAUGUAUCAGGUUUUUUUUAAGUAAAACUCCUUUUCGCGUUGGCGGCCUUCGGCCGCGCUUCAAAAAAAUAACCCUGGCCGAUCCAACACCGGGGUGUAUCAAAAAUCUUGAUAUAUCAAGAAAAAGGGCAAUGAUUUAUGUAUUUGGGGUAUAG